This 525-nucleotide ribosomal RNA is filed under the name uncultured microorganism. RNAcentral describes it as "bacterial SSU rRNA". It matches the Rfam family "Bacterial small subunit ribosomal RNA", at positions 9 to 517 of the family's 1533-position model. The record is from RNAcentral.
GAGUUUGAUCGUGGCUCAGGAUGAACGCUGGCGGCGUGCCUAACACAUGCAAGUCGAACGGAGUUUAUGAGGAAGAAGCUUCGGCGGAAUUCUUAUAAACUUAGUGGCGGACGGGUGAGUAACACGUGGAGAACCUGCCUCUUACCGGGGGACAGCAGUUGGAAACGACUGAUAAUACCGCAUAAGCGCACGAGACCGCAUGGUCCUGUGUGAAAAAGAUUUAUCGGUAAGAGAUGGCUCCGCGUCUGAUUAGCCAGUUGGCGGGUAACGGCCCACCAAAGCGACGAUCAGUAGCCGGCCUGAGAGGGUGAACGGCCACAUUGGGACUGAGACACGGCCCAGACUCCUACGGGAGGCAGCAGUGGGGGAUAUUGCACAAUGGAGGAAACUCUGAUGCAGCGACGCCGCGUGAGUGAAGAAGUAUUUCGGUAUGUAAAGCUCUAUCAGCAGGGAAGAAAGACCUCGAAAGGAGGGAUGACGGUACCUGAGUAAGAACGCCCCGGCUAACUACGUGCCACGCCGCCC